Molecule: non-coding RNA, 143 nt
Organism: Gossypium arboreum
Lineage: Eukaryota; Viridiplantae; Streptophyta; Magnoliopsida; Malvales; Malvaceae
Source: Rfam
UGUUAAAUAUUUCAUUCAUUUCUACUGUUGAACUAGUGUAGUUGACGAAAUAAAUAGACAAUUGCAUAUGAUAUACCAUGUGUACCUCAUGCAGACAUACAUGAAUCAAUCUUUAACUGCAGAAAUAAAUGAAUUUUUUAAUA